AUUGAACGCUGGCGGCAUGCUUUACACAUGCAAGUCGAACGGUAACAGGCCGCAAGGUGCUGACGAGUGGCGCACGGGUGAGUAAUGCAUCGGAACGUGCCCAGUCGUGGGGGAUAACUACUCGAAAGAGUAGCUAAUACCGCAUACGAUCUAUGGAUGAAAGCGGGGGACCGUAAGGCCUCGCGCGAUUGGAGCGGCCGAUGUCAGAUUAGGUAGUUGGUGGGGUAAAGGCUCACCAAGCCAACGAUCUGUAGCUGGUCUGAGAGGACAACCAGCCACACUGGGACUGAGACACGGCCCAGACUCCUACGGGAGGCAGCAGUGGGGAAUUUUGGACAAUGGGCGCAAGCCUGAUCCAGCAAUGCCGUGUGCAGGAAGAAGGCCUUCGGGUUGUAAACUGCUUUUGUACGGAACGAAACGGCUCUGGUUAAUACCCGGGGCUAAUGACGGUACCGUAAGAAUAAGCACCGGCUAACUACGU
Molecule: ribosomal RNA, 481 nt
Filed under: uncultured bacterium
Lineage: Bacteria
Description: partial 16S ribosomal RNA
Rfam family: Bacterial small subunit ribosomal RNA
Source: RNAcentral